AUUGUUUGACACGCGUUGCUAAAAUGGACAAGUGUAGUGAUUGAACAAAGUUAAAAGAAGGAGUUAAUAUAGAAAAGAAAACUUAGAUUAGUAGUUGGAUUAGGCUCUGUUAAUUAUGGAUUAUGGAGGGUACUAGCUGAGAGACAGAGACAUGAACGAAUAGCAGAAUGGAACUGGGGGAGGGGAGGGUAUAAAAGCAGGAAUAGGACAAAUUGCUUUGAUUUUGCAGCAGAGAUCAAUUGAUGGCAAGUUUAAUUGAUUGAUAAUAAUGGUAUUAGGAAGAACAAAAAUGUAUGGUUUGGUUUUAUAAGAAGGUUUUAAACAAUAAAACAAAAUAAACUAAGAAAAGUGUUUGUGGUUGGAUUUGGUUUUAUUAGUGUGAAAUGAAAUUAGGAAGUACUAAAGUUGAGAGGAUAGAUUAAUAGUGUGGCCACCAAAAGAUGUUUGUGUUUCGUUUUAAAUAAAUGAAUAUGAUGAUUAUUGUUGUUGUAGGUAUAAUUUUUUUGAAUAAGCAAAAUUUAUUAAAGAGUGGAUUUGGCACAAGGUGUGCUAAAUUCACUACUCAAAAGUAUAA
This 574-nucleotide long non-coding RNA is filed under the name Trifolium pratense (red clover). Its description in RNAcentral is "long non-coding RNA (TPRA_LNC005263)". The record is from RNAcentral. Lineage: Eukaryota; Viridiplantae; Streptophyta; Magnoliopsida; Fabales; Fabaceae.